This 494-nucleotide ribosomal RNA is filed under the name uncultured bacterium. Its description in RNAcentral is "bacterial SSU rRNA". It matches the Rfam family "Bacterial small subunit ribosomal RNA", at positions 338 to 848 of the family's 1533-position model. The record is from RNAcentral.
CCUACGGGAGGCAGCAGUGGGGAAGUAUUGGACAAUGGGCGCAAGCCUGAUCCAGCCAUGCCGCGUGAGUGAUGAAGGCCUUAGGGUUGUAAAGCUCUUUUGUACGGGAAGAUAAUGACGGUACCGUAAGAAUAAGCCCCGGCUAACUUCGUGCCAGCAGCCGCGGUAAUACGAAGGGGGCUAGCGUUGCUCGGAAUCACUGGGCGUAAAGGGUGCGUAGGCGGGUUUUUAAGUCAGAGGUGAAAUCCUGGAGCUCAACUCCAGAACUGCCUUUGAUACUGAAAGUCUUGAGUAUGGGAGAGGUGAGUGGAACUGCGAGUGUAGAGGUGAAAUUCGUAGAUAUUCGCAAGAACACCAGUGGCGAAGGCGGCUCACUGGCCCAUUACUGACGCUGAGGCACGAAAGCGUGGGGAGCAAACAGGAUUAGAUACCCUGGUAGUCCACGCCGUAAACGAUANANANCACGCGUACGUAGGUUACGUCUACUAGUGCGC